Molecule: long non-coding RNA, 1528 nt
Filed under: Sus scrofa (pig)
Lineage: Eukaryota; Metazoa; Chordata; Mammalia; Artiodactyla; Suidae
Description: lncRNA (ENSSSCG00035042432.1, ENSSSCG00065030640.1)
Source: RNAcentral
UCUUUUCCCGCCUUUAUUUCAGCCACAUUCUCCCUGAGCAGAUGCCACACUCAGCUCCUAAGCAGAAGCGGGGGCUCAGAAGCAGCACCCAGCACCCAAGAGAAGGCCUGAAGCAGUGCUCAGCACCCAGGAGGCACUGUGUGCCCAUUGAGUGCAACAAGCAGUCGCCACCAGGACCAGCACCCCUGCCACCACCAAGCGUCCUCUGUCCAUCGCCCAUCUCCGCAUCACGGGCUGGGACACGCUGCUUUUUUGGCAAGCCGCUGUUCAGAAGACGCUGUUCCUGAAUUCAGGGAAGCAAAAAAUAAAAAUAAAAAGAUCUGAGAACAACCGCUGUGACUUCUUAGCUCUGAUGAAGUGCAUUCGCCUUGACAGUGACAUAAAAUGUAACUUCAGGAAGCUUUUUUUGUUCUUCGUGCUUUUAUCUCAUUAAGGGUUGGAUGAGGUUUCCAAUUUCACAUCAUUAAAUUCAAGGUCUGAUCCAUCCAGUGGUGAGAAAGUCAUAACUUCUUUUAAAAGAAGUAUUUGUGUUCUCGAAAUAGUAUUGGCUUUAAUCUCCAUAUCAAAAUGAAAGGUCUGGGCUUGGAUGAGAAAUAGCGCUUGCUUUGGGGACAUUCUGAGCCAACCCUCAGGGGCAUUUAGUGGGAGGCUCCAGCGCUCCAUCUUCUGACUUGCAGGUUAAAAUCUCCCACUCCUGGACCAUCUGAUCAAAGGCACAGUUGCCAAGUCUUAAAGGUUCGUGGAAACACCUCUUUGCCCCUUUUAGCAACAGGCCCAUGGGUCUGGGGACAGGGCCAAGAGGUCGUUCCUCGGUUUCUGAGACCAUCUUGCCCCUUCGCUGGUGGGCGAUGCCCCAGAGGCGGCUGUGUGAGUGGUUAACACCAGACAAGCUGAGACCUGUUCUGGCUGGGACGCGGCCAUGCCUUCCACGAGGCUUUCUGUACCGACACCGCAGCCAGCUGCCCCAGAGGAGCUGCUUCCCGGCCGCUCUGACACUCCGAGCCUGCUGAACGCAGCCUUCCGGCCAGGCUGCACUUCUCCGGGCCCUGCCUCGUUCACAGGGCAUCCUUGGCUGGCUUUCUCCUUUGGCGGCUGGGAAGGUUCUGAGGCUCUUCUGGCCUUGCGGCUGUGAGAUUCCUACUUUCUUCCUGGGUGGGAAGAGCAGGCGGCCCUGAAGAGCCUGUCCAAGGGGUGCUGGGCUCCACCUGGGCAGGAAGGCGGUCCUGUGCCCAGAGACCAGGGAAGCCUGGGAGUGUGUCGUCCUAGAUGGGGGGGUGGGGAGACAACACCCGAAGAGCCUCCGGGGCUCCCUUUCUAGAAAGGGAAGCUGAGUCAGAGAGGGAAGGUGACUGCAAGUUAGUGACAGAGCAAGGAUCAGACGGGGGGUUUCCAGCUCCUGUCCCUCCACACUGGCCACAGCACAGGGGGGCCAGGUCCUUUUCCUCCCCCCAGCCCUCCCCCCACCUCGCAGGAGGAGCUCCCAGGAUUCUACUGCUUGGUGGCUGCCCCAGCAGACACCCCCCCAGGC